This 235-nucleotide ribosomal RNA is filed under the name uncultured bacterium. RNAcentral's name for it is "partial 16S ribosomal RNA". It matches the Rfam family "Bacterial small subunit ribosomal RNA", at positions 96 to 334 of the family's 1533-position model. The record is from RNAcentral.
UGGCGGACGGGUGAGUAAUGUCUGGGAAACUGCCUGGUGGAGGGGGAUAACUACUGGAAACGGUAGCUAAUACCGCAUAACGUCGCAAGACCAAAGAGGGGGACCUUCGGGCCUCUUGCCAUCGGAUGUGCCCAGAUGGGAUUAGCUAGUAGGUGGGGUAACGGCUCACCUAGGCGACGAUCCCUAGCUGGUCUGAGAGGAUGACCAGCCACACUGGAACUGAGAUACGGUCCAG